UACAAUGGGUAGCCAAGCCGCGAGGCGGAGCCAAUCCUGAAAGCAGGCCUCAGUUCAGAUUGCAGUCUGCAACUCGACUGCAUGAAGCCGGAGUUGCUAGUAACCGCAGGUCAGCAAUACUGCGGUGAAUACGUUCCCGGGUCUU
RNAcentral lists this ribosomal RNA (145 nucleotides) under uncultured Anaerolineaceae bacterium. RNAcentral's name for it is "partial 16S ribosomal RNA". It matches the Rfam family "Bacterial small subunit ribosomal RNA", at positions 1238 to 1382 of the family's 1533-position model. The record is from RNAcentral. Lineage: Bacteria; Bacillati; Chloroflexota; Anaerolineae; Anaerolineales; Anaerolineaceae.